This 587-nucleotide ribosomal RNA is filed under the name Dietzia sp. Its description in RNAcentral is "bacterial SSU rRNA". It matches the Rfam family "Bacterial small subunit ribosomal RNA", at positions 281 to 879 of the family's 1533-position model. Lineage: Bacteria; Bacillati; Actinomycetota; Actinomycetes; Mycobacteriales; Dietziaceae. The record is from RNAcentral.
GGGUAGCCGGCCUGAGAGGGUGAUCGGCCACACUGGGACUGAGACACGGCCCAGACUCCUACGGGAGGCAGCAGUGGGGAAUAUUGCACAAUGGGCGGAAGCCUGAUGCAGCGACGCCGCGUGGGGGAUGACGGUCUUCGGAUUGUAAACUCCUUUCAGUAGGGACGAAGCGAGAGUGACGGUACCUGCAGAAGAAGCACCGGCCAACUACGUGCCAGCAGCCGCGGUAAUACGUAGGGUGCAAGCGUUGUCCGGAAUUACUGGGCGUAAAGAGCUCGUAGGCGGUUUGUCACGUCGUCUGUGAAAUCCUCCAGCUCAACUGGGGGCGUGCAGGCGAUACGGGCUGACUUGAGUACUACAGGGGAGACUGGAAUUCCUGGUGUAGCGGUGAAAUGCGCAGAUAUCAGGAGGAACACCGGUGGCGAAGGCGGGUCUCUGGGUAGUAACUGACGCUGAGGAGCGAAAGCAUGGGGAGCAAACAGGAUUAGAUACCCUGGUAGUCCAUGCCGUAAACGGUGGGCGCUAGGUGUGGGGUCCUUCCACGGAUUCCGUGCCGUAGCUAACGCAUUAAGCGCCCCGCCUGGGGA